CUACGGGUUGCAGCAGUAAGGAAUAUUGCACAAUGGGGGAAACCCUGAUGCAGCAACGCCGCGUGGACGAAGAAGGCCUUCGGGUCGUAAAGUCCUUUUCUGAGGGAAGAGGAAGGACGGUACCUCAGGAAUAAGUCUCGGCUAACUACGUGCCAGCAGCCGCGGUAAAACGUAGGAGGCGAGCGUUAUCCGGAUUCACUGGGCGUAAAGGGCAAGUAGGCGGUUGUUUAAGUUAGGUGUGACAUCUCUCGGCUUAACUGGGAGGGAGCGCUUAAAACUAGGCAACUAGAGGGCGGAAGAAGGGGGUAGAACUCCAAAUGUAGCGGUGGAAUGCUCAGAUAUUUGGAAGAAUACCAGUGGCGAAGGCGACCCCCCGGUCCGUGCCUGACGCUGAGAGGCGAAAGCUAGGGUAGCGAACGGGAUUAGAUACCCGCGUAGUC
RNAcentral lists this ribosomal RNA (440 nucleotides) under uncultured bacterium. Its description in RNAcentral is "partial 16S ribosomal RNA". It matches the Rfam family "Bacterial small subunit ribosomal RNA", at positions 339 to 795 of the family's 1533-position model. The record is from RNAcentral.